CAGGUCGUGGCGUGAAUGGCAACGCACCACGGUGCCAUCGUGGGGUUGAGGGUUCAAGUCCCUCCGGCCUGACCA
RNAcentral lists this transfer RNA (75 nucleotides) under Chloroflexota bacterium. RNAcentral describes it as "tRNA-Gly". It matches the Rfam family "tRNA". From Rfam's summary of the family: Transfer RNA (tRNA) molecules are approximately 80 nucleotides in length. Their secondary structure includes four short double-helical elements and three loops (D, anti-codon, and T loops). Further hydrogen bonds mediate the characteristic L-shaped molecular structure. tRNAs have two regions of fundamental functional importance: the anti-codon, which is responsible for specific mRNA codon recognition, and the 3' end, to which the tRNAs corresponding amino acid is attached (by aminoacyl-tRNA synthetases). tRNAs cope with the degeneracy of the genetic code in two manners: having more than one tRNA (with a specific anti-codon) for a particular amino acid; and 'wobble' base-pairing, i.e. permitting non-standard base-pairing at the 3rd anti-codon position. Lineage: Bacteria; Bacillati; Chloroflexota. The record is from RNAcentral.